CACGUUCUUUCUUGAAAAUUAUACUUUUUUACGGAUAUGGAGUGGAUUUUGGUUUUUAUUAUCGGCUGUAUUGUGGGAUUUCUAAUAUCGCAGCAUACAUAGUUGCGGUUUGUAUAAAUUGGUCUAGAAAUGGUCGACAGUCUACUUGAAGCGUACAUUAGGUGUUCUUUAAAAAAAAACAAAAUUUUCCGUUUUUAGCUGCGGAGAUUUUAGUUCUAUUAGAAAAUAUGCAGCGGUUUAUUACUUUCGUUGUUGGAGGAAUCGUUGGUUUUCUCGUUGCCAAGAAUACCCGUUAAACAUCAUGGCCUAUGUCAUCUGCUUUGGAAUGGGCAUGGUGUUCGGCAUGUUCGUAUGCCGACGUUGCGAGCCCUGAUUGAGAAGACUUAAGAACCCUAUCAUAGCCCUUCAGGAAUUCAAGAUCUAGAGUGCCCACUUCUAUCACAUGGACUUUGAAUAAACAAUUCCCCACAAAG
Molecule: long non-coding RNA, 473 nt
Organism: Drosophila rhopaloa
Lineage: Eukaryota; Metazoa; Arthropoda; Insecta; Diptera; Drosophilidae
Exons: 3
Source: RefSeq, a predicted model, not a curated record